This is a long non-coding RNA of Grus americana (Whooping crane), 5225 nucleotides long. RefSeq lists it as uncharacterized. The record is from RefSeq and is a predicted model, not a curated record. The transcript has 7 exons. Lineage: Eukaryota; Metazoa; Chordata; Aves; Gruiformes; Gruidae.
UGCAGUAAGUAACAUGAAAAAUAAGAAAGUAAGCUUUCCUCAGAUUACCAAUAUUGCUACUCUUUCUCUUAGAAAACACUUACGCCAUUUGCCCAUUUGUAAAUCAGGAUAAUGAUUGUAAUGUGCCAUCAAUUUUUAAAAAGUCUUUAUUUAAAAUUUUGGACUUUCAGCCUUGCAUUCCCUGCCAUGAGAAUUCAAAAUAUUAAAGGAUACAGAUCUUUAAUGAAUGUAAGGUGUUUUUUCUCCUUAUAACUUAAUUGCCCAGAUCAUUUUGAUGCUUCAAGGCAAUGUUUGAGCAGCUGUGAAAAAAAUUUGCAUGUCCACAGAGUGCAAUAUUGUACAAAGUACAGGCAUCUGCAGGGAAAGCCAGCCUGGCUGAAUGUACUUACAGCUCUGCUCAAUUAAAUAAGGUGUGUAUCUAUUCUGCAAAAAUGCGCUGCUCCACAAAUAACUUAAACAGCUUUCCAAGAUGGAUGAGUAUGUAAAGAAAUGACCUGCUUGCAUAUCUUUGGGGUUUGUGCCAAAGAGAUUUGGAUAUUACAAACCAUCUAAUAUCUUUCACAAUACUUGGAAGGUUAGAAUGGCAUCCAAUUUGAGUAGUUGUUUGGAGAAAAAUGCCAAAUUUUGUCACAGUGACAUAAAAUACCUUAGCAUGAAGAAAGAACAGUAAUAAAACUGUAAGAGAAAGAGAUAAACUAAGAGAUAAACUAUGUCAACAGAAAAAAAAAUGACAUCUCUUUCUGUUUACUGCAGCUGCUGUGUUUGACAACUCUUAGCCUCUGGAAGAUGCUCUUUUUAAGGCAAUCUUUUCCUAACCUUAAUUAGAAGCGAUGAGGUGAAGGUGAUAGAGGUUGGUUUCAAUGCUUUUAAUAAUCGUGUAACAGAAAGAACACAAGACAGGUCAAAAACUGUAAAAGUUUUCAAGCUGCUUGAAAGAUACGCUACACUGGAAAAAAGAGAUGGACCUUCUGUAUGCAAUAAGAUAGAUGCUUCCAUUUUCUCCCAAAAUACUGUUGGUGAAAUUGCAAGUUCAGCAAUGAACGGAGACACACCUGGAAAUAACGUGACUCACUAUUCCUGAAAAAAAGAUAGAAGAGUCCCGUAAUGAGAUCAUACUGUUUCUGCAACUAAGGAAUCACGAGUAGAUGGUGGAAGGCCUAGGAAGGAGCUAUACUUUCUUACCUGGAGGAUAUGCUGAAGGUGUGUGGGGAGAGCCACCAAUGGCCAAAGCUGGUCCUUUACCUCCCAGCAAAAGGUGGGCCACCAUCAAGGGACUGGAGCAUUCAUCCUAUGAGGAGAGGCUGAGACAGCUGGGACUGUCCAGCCUGGAGAAAAAGAAGGCUUACGGGGAUCUUACCUAUGCCUGAUGGGGCCAUUAAAGAAGACGGAGCCAGGGUCUUCUCCAUGGUGAACAGACAACAGGCAGCUUUCCAAGGCAUGGAAACAUCAUGACAUAUAUUAUCGGUAUUACAGAUUAAAGUAGUUGUAAGGGAGCUAUACCAUUUUUCUUCUGUACUAACAUAUGCCUGCAGAGCUGUGCAAGAAAGCGUAAAAGGUUUGACAAUGAUCAGUCUCUCAGGUAAGCAGAUAAAUAUUCAGUCAUUUUCCCUUCCUAAUUGCUCUUAGCUUCUGUAUUUAUUUAUUCAGGAAUGACUCUGGGAGCUUGUUCUAGCCCCUUCGAUAAACAAAUGGGGUUCUGUUUCCUUUUUUAGAAAUAAUUAUGCAUUUUGGAAAACUAGGAAAAUGCAUCUUUAAAGUAAACAUGCAUAAAAGAGCAAAGAGAGCUCUAUGGAAAGUGCGUACCUAAGAAUACUAAUGUUUGUUUUCCAGAUUUGUAAAAGCUAUGAAAAAUAAAGGCCAACCAAACCAUUUUGCAUUUCUGCCUUCCCCUGUAUUAGAUUCUGGGUUGCAAGCCCUUCUUUGGGGUUCCUGACCUUCAAAGCACAGGACGAGACUCCUCCUUUCAACGUACUGCAGUCCGAGGAGAGUUCCUGUGCUAUUCCUUCACUGCCCGCGUAUUGAGAACUGCAGAGGAGCCGCAGCCGAGCACACGCUCCCAGGCACCCCCAGGAAUUUUCAGUGUUCUUGGUAUCUUGAUCGUUUUCCCAAGAUGGAUUGCAUCUGUUCUUUUUCAAAAACAGAAGUACAUUGUGAAAAUGUUUGGGGAAAAAAAAAACCACAAACAACAACAAACAAACAGCAGAGGAAGAGCACAUAUUUAGUAAGAAAGAGAAAGACAAAUGGCUAAAAAGAAUUUUGUAAGUAAGUGGUCCUCACGAACAGGAGUUCAUCUCCAAGCACUCUCUAAAGUCCAUGCAAUUAUAAGCGACUCAGUGUUAGUUAACCUGAACUCCACUCAUUUCCACUGCUUCUGCCCACUUAGGGCCAAGCUGGAAGACGAGUAUCUAAAAAUUCCUACAGGACAGUGCCCAUGGAAAUCACACUUCCAAGGUGGUAGAGGUGGGGGGCCAAAGGAGAAGUGUACCAUUUUCAUAUGGAAGUGCUGUAACAGUUGCUGAAACCAUGUGGGGAUUUUUAGGUCACAUUUGAAAGUUAGAGUGGAUACAGAAUUAUUUAAAACAUCAACAGAGUUCAAAUAAAUGCCUAUUUACAAUGAAAUUUCAACAUAUUAAAAAACUUGAGACCCUAUGGUCAAGUCUGAACUACUGGUUUGGGGUGCAUGAUACAUAUUUGUCUGUAUAUAUGUAUGUAUAUGCUUAUUAUAUAUUAGUGUGGGUAUAUAUAUACAUACUUAUGAACGACUGGAGCACCAUCAGCAGACAGGAGAACGAACGUGUGACACUGAAGCUGCAGGAGAGCAGCAACUGCACUUGCAGCAAUGGCCCACAGCUCUCCCAGGCUGCAGUCACAGGCUGCGCUCUGCCACCAGCGUGACGUGGCUGCGUGGAAACGGAGAGACGGGCUGGGUGUCUGUGCUCUCCAGCAGCUUCCCGCUGCUGAAACCUUUCCGUUGGCCUUUGUCUUUCUAGAAAACAUGCAAUUCUCAAACUCAGCCAAGAAGAUACCUGAGAUCAAGUCAGGUCUUUGGCAGGUGUAAAUUAUAUCUAUAGACUUUACACUGUUCUCAGUGAAUUUUACACUGGCUGAAGACAAAAACUUCUGCUUAUCUGCCAUACAAAUUAAUUAGUUUUAUGACAUGCCAAGUAGAAAAGAUGUGCGUGAGCAUACAUGUGUGCGUGUAUUGUGGGUAGUAUCUGCAGUUCUUAGGAAACUGUCUGAAUUAGAGUAAUUCAGCUCUUUCAGGCAUCUUCAUAGUGCUGCAAGACAUUGGAUAGACAGAUAUCCCUGUGCCUCGGUAAGCAGGGAAAACAUUGGCUAAAAAUCACUGAUUUGUCAGUCCUCUCCCAAGUUACAUGCACAUCAUAGAAAUGGCAUUUCUAAGAGAAGCUUAAAAUAAGGGGUCUUCAAUGAUUAAUUAUUAAAGUGCAGAUUGUUUGGCUGGAUUUCUAAUGACUGUAAUUUGAAGUCAUUUGUCUGACAUAGUUCAUCCUAUCAUUAAAUUCUUUCUAAAAAUUGCUAUAUUCUUCAAAAAACAGAUAAAGUGAUAGGCUGAUGGGAUGGAAGGAAAGGAAUGUAUAAUGAAAUCUGUCCUUCAAAUACACUCAGUCCUAGGGCUGACUGGGUUGUAUGUAUGUAGUAUUCAAGCUAACCAAACCCUGCAGUCGAAUCAGCAAGCCAUGUGCACAGCACUUCAUGAAUCACUGCUGCAGCCAUCGUUUGAGAAAGGAGGAAGACAACAGCAAAGGACUGAGCAGCACAUAAAAAGGAAAAUAAUGGGAAUGAGAAAACUAUGUUAACUUGUUCGGUAAGCAGAAUAUACUUUUUAGUUAAGGUGGAAUAAAGAAUGCAGAGUUCUUAGAAUUGCCAAUGGUAGGGAAUAUUUCCACCUAAUAAAAUACUACUGCAGAGGUACUACUCGUGGAUGUUGCACAGAUGUUCUGGUUUUGGCAGGGAUAGAGUUAAUUUUCUUCCUAGUGGCUGGUAUAGUGCUGUGGUUUGGAUUUAGGAUGAGAAUAAUGUUGGUAACACAGGGAUGUUUUUAGUUGCUGCCAAGCAGUCAAGGACUUUUCACCUUCUCAUACUGCCCUGACAAUGAGAAGGCGGGGGGUGCUGAAGAAGCUGGGAGGGGACACAGCCAGGACAGCUGACCCAAACUGGCCAAAGAGAUAUUACAUACCAUAUGACAUCAUGCUCAUUAUAUAACUGGGGGUUGGCCGGGAGGCGGGGCAGCUUGGGAGCUAGCUGGGUAUUGGCUUUGGGUGGUGAGAAAUUGUGCUGUGCGUCACUUGUUUUGUAUAUUCUGUUAUUAUUAUGGUUAUUGUUAUUAUCAUCAUCAUCAUCGUCUUCUUCCUUUUCUACCCUAUUAAACUGUAUUUAUCUCAACCCACAAGUUUUAUUUUUUUAUUUUUUUUUAUUCUCUGCCCCAUCCCACUUGGGGGGUGGGGAGUGAGCGACUGGCUGUGCAGUUGUUUUAGCUGCUGGCUGGGUUAAACCACGACAGGAACCAAGCGAGUCACUUCUUGUCUUGCACGUAGAAGGGUACAUUUGACAGCAUUCAUUAAUGCUGACGCACUACUGCAGUAAUAUUUCAGAAUGAAAAUUAUCAAUAGGACAAGGAAUAGUAUGAGAAACAGUAGGAAUUUAGAGACAUACACACACAGAGGCAUAUACACUCCUGCACAUACAAAUAGUUUUGUACAAUUUUUUUUUUUUUAAUACAUAUCUCUUCAUUUCAGCUCUUGUCAGUCCUGUGGGAAUGGUUUGGGUUUUUUCCUCAGGUAGUCAAAGAAUUCACAUGUUCACCCUCACACUUGAACAUGCUAUAACAAAAAAAUACAGAAAUGCUAUGGUCUUCAGAAGUAUUUUACCUGCAAUUAGAAAGUUGUCAAACAUACAAGUUAGAGUACAGAUAUAAUUCUGCACAUGAAAGCAUACACUUUAUAGAACUGGAAUCAUAAUAUUAAGACAAUUUGUUGGCUAAAAAUCAUUUUCCUAUUAUGUUUGUUGAUAUGUAUCACAAAUGAAAGCAGUCAGAAAUGAUAAAAGAAACACAGAACAAGAAAAGCUCAUGUGAUAAAAACUCUAAAAGGAAGAGAAGGCCAGUUCCAAGCAUUCCUUAGUGACGUGGCUUAGCCCCAGCCGGUAGCUGGGUGCCACACACCACUCACCCACCCCUUCCCCGGCGGGCCGGGGAGGACAAUGGA